GACGAACCGUGCGAACGUUGUUCGGAUUCACUAGGCUUAAAGGGCGCGUAGGCGGACAAUCAAGUCAGGGGUGAAAGCCUCCAGCUCAACUGGAGAAGUGCCUUUGAUACUGACUGUCUCGAGGGAGGUAGGGGCAUGUGGAACUUCCGGUGGAGCGGUGAAAUGCGUAGAUAUCGGAAGGAACGCCGGUGGCGAAAGCGACGUGCUGGACCUCUUCUGACGCUGAGGCGCGAAAGCGUGGGGAGCGAACAGG
This 253-nucleotide ribosomal RNA is filed under the name uncultured bacterium. RNAcentral's name for it is "partial 16S ribosomal RNA". It matches the Rfam family "Bacterial small subunit ribosomal RNA", at positions 524 to 776 of the family's 1533-position model. The record is from RNAcentral.